Molecule: transfer RNA, 77 nt
Filed under: Patescibacteria group bacterium
Lineage: Bacteria
Description: tRNA-Val
Rfam family: tRNA
About the family: Transfer RNA (tRNA) molecules are approximately 80 nucleotides in length. Their secondary structure includes four short double-helical elements and three loops (D, anti-codon, and T loops).
Source: RNAcentral
GGGAGGUUAGCUCAGUUGGUUAGAGCGUUUCAUUGACAUUGAAGAGGUCACAGGUUCGAGUCCUGUACCUCCCACCA